UCCUGAGUCGCAGGGUGCGCUUGAGCGCUGGCACCAGACUUUGAAGUCAAUGCUGAAAAAUUACUGUUAUAAGACUGGGAAUAACUGGGAUGAGGGUGUGCCUUUUUGUUCUCUCUGCUCGUGAUGCAAAGCAGGAGUCUCUAGAGUUUAGCCCAGCAGAGCUAGUGUCCUGUCACAAUGUGCGUGGCCCGUUGAAAGUGUUUAAAGAGAAGCUAGGGGUGAUAACUCUUGUAAAAAUGUUUUUUGUAACCCGCUGUAGAGCGUCUGCACUAUGCUACAAGGUUAGCCAAGCAGUCACUCUCUUCCUCAGGUCAACACGAAGAGACGCUGUGACAAGAAGGCAGUCGAGCGACGCAGGUGAUUAAGUGCCCACACCUGGCUCUGCUCUUGCUGACCUAUUCUCACCUCCGUACGUGGUGGAAGACAUUGUUGUGGUAGGGAUUUCUUCUCUUGUUGCUCAGCCUGAGUUGGAGGACGACUUGAUGCCCUGUGAACGUCAUCUGUGUGGUACGCUAGCUAACUCUGAGUUCUUGUCUACAAUCUACCAGCAGCUGCUCUCCCUGCACUUCACAAACAAUGUGAUGCGCUUGCUUGGCAGGUAUCCUAGUAUUUUACAAAAUGGGCUAGAGCACGACAUUAUUGUGGGCGAUGCCCUUUAAGCAGCAUUCAUAGUGCUGUCCGCUAGCUAAAAGGGAGGCCAUGUGGAAAGGAGUUUGUUCUGAUCUUGCUAAGCCCAGCUAUAGCUCCGUGCUUGUUGGCGCCUAAGUCUGACAGUAGUCCUUGCAUCUGCACAGAUUUUCGCAAAGUGAAUGCCAAUGCCUUUCGGCAUGAAAAACACGCCUGCCACUUUUCAGCGCCUUGUGCAGUGUGUAUCCUGACGAUGUGGUGGUCUACUCUGGUGAGUGGGAGUCACAGGUCCAGUCUGGAAACUGUACGCAAAUGGCUGGCAGACGCCUCUUACCCUUAACUUGACCAAGGGUGAGUUUGGUAAAGCUACUGUUAUCUACCUUGUUGGGCAGGUCCGGCCUGUAGAUGCUAAGGUAGCUGCUGUUGUGUCGCUACCAGUGCCCAGCACAAGGCAAGAACUUAGUAACCUGCCAUGCCGAAGAAAUGCCUUUAGCGGUUUCUGUAAAUUAAGUCACUCCUCUGACAAGGUAGACAAAGGAGCCAUAAUUGUCUUCCUUUUGGAGAUUGUUUUCAGUUGCUUUGUGUUGACAGUUUUUUGUCCAUUAAAUAACCAUAUUUGCCUUUUGUCCAGGGAUUAUUAUUUUUACAUUGUUUGCGUUCACCACCCCUAGACAAUUUAGGGACGUAACAAAUGUAAUUAGUGCUUUUCUUUUUCCCUCAUCUUGUUUUUGCUUCCAAUAUUCCAGUUCUCCCGAGGGCCCGGUCAUCCUGCCUGAUGGCGUUUUUGAUGGUCUCUGUGACAAAUCGGCAUUCAGGUUCCCAGGUGGAUGGAUGAAUGGCUCUGGGGAGAAGCCAGUGUUGUACUUAAAAUGGCCCAGGAUUUUGAGUUGCUGAUGAUGGCGGUUUACAUCUCUUUCCAGCACGCUUUCUUCGUCCUUAUUUAAAGAAAAGGUAAGAAGGGUUAAUAUUCGAGUGGGCCCUGGUGCGAAUGCACUGCUACUAAUUUAACUGAAUCAUCCAUGAGUGUGAGAUGAGCUUGGCUGUGGUUGGUGUCCAAGGAACCUGAUCACUGUUCACCUGAAACAGGUUCUCUUGGAUCCCUUUCAGGGUUCUAGUCUGCUGUCCCAGGAUGCCACUAAUGGCCACCACCAGAGUCCUCUGUCUGGGUUGUAGCUCUGAAGAAAACUGGAGAUGAAAAUUUCUGCCAUAAACACAUUUUUGGCCUGUGCCAGCAGUAUCUUUAGCUGCUUCUUCAUAUACAGUUGUGUAAAAAAGUGUUUGCCCCCUUCCUGAUUUUUUAUUUUUGCAUGUUUGUCACACUUAAAUGUUUCAAAUUAGACAAAGAUAACAAGUAAACACAAAAUGCAGUUAUUAUUAUGGGGAAAAAAUUCCAAACUUGCAUCGCCCUGUGUGAAAAAAGGAUUUCUCCCUAAACCUAAUAACUGGUUGGGCCACCCUUAGCAGCAACCGCUGCAAUCCAGCGUUUGUGAUAACUGGCAAUGAGUCUUUUACAGGGCUGUGCAGGAAUUUUGGCCCACUUCUCUUCGCAGAAUUGUUUUAAUUAAGUUUUUGAGCAUGAACCGCCUUUUUAAGAUCAUGCCACAGCAUCUCAAUUGGAUUCCGGUCGGGACUUUGACUAGGCCACUCAGUCUUCAUUUAGUUUUUCUUAAGCCAUUCAGAGGUGGAGUUGUCCUGCUGCAGAACCCAAGUGCGCUUCAGCUUGAGGUCACGCAAAACAGCCCCAGACAUCACACCACCACCACCAUAUUUUACUGUUGGUAUAAUGUUCCUUUUCUGAAAUGGCGUGUUACUUCUACGCCAGUUGUAAUGGGACAUAUGUCAGCGUAUCGUACCUUAUUUAACCUGCAUGCUUUUUGUGUGAGUUGUAAGGACUGCUGUCCCUUAUGUAAACUUCCUUUAGCUGACAAAAUAACUAUUGCUUCUACCUGUAAAUACUUGAUAAUCAACUGGCGAACCAGGUGCAAGGCGGAGUGUGGCUGAUUGGUGGAGUUUAAAAGAGCUAACGACUGCCACUACGGGGCGGACGGAGGACGAGGAGCAGCACGGACUGAACAGAGGAUAAUCUGGAUAGGAGAAACCUUGGCCACCCAGAAGAUUGGAUUGUUCCAGAUGGAUAUGUGACUGGUUAGAGGAUUGUGAUUUUAAGAGAAACAGUCUCUACGAUUUUAAGAUAUAACUUAUUCCUACCUUUUUAUAAAAAUAAAACUAUUUUCAUAGAUAUAUCCCUUCUGGUCUCUGUGUCCUGGGUGUACCGAUAUAAGAGGGGCCAUACGGCUGACACCUACACGUUCCAAAAAGUUCAACUUUUGUCCCGUCAGUCCAGAGUAUUUUCCCAAAAGUCUUUGGAAUCAUAAAGAUGUUUUCAGGCAAAACUGAGACGAGCCUUUGUUCUUUUUUCUCAGCAGUGGUUUUCGUCAAAUUCCAUUUUUUGUCUUUUUUAUUUUAUUUUUUUAUGGUGGAGUCAUGAACACUAACCUUGAUUGAAGCACGCGAGUCCUGCAGUUCUUUGGAUGUUGUUCUGGAGUCUUUUGUGACCUCUUUGAUGAGUCGUCGCUGCGCUCCUGGGGUAAUACUGGUCGGCCUCCUGGGAAGGUUCACCACUGUUCCAUGUUUUUGCGAUUUAUGGAUUGUGGCUUGCUGGAGUCCCAAAGCUUUAGAAAUGGCUUUGUAACCUUUUACAGACUGUCUGAUCUCAAUUCCUUUUUCUUAUUUGUUCCUGAAUUUCUCUGGAUCGCAGCAUGAUUUCUAGCUUUUGAGGAUCUUUUGGUUUACUUUGUCAGGCAUUAAGUGAUUUCUUGAUUUCUUGAACAGGUGGGGCAGUGAUCAGGCCUGGGUGUCGCUAGAGAUAUUGAACUCCGCUUUCCAAACAUGUGAUAAACCAGUUAGUUCAUGUUUUAACAGGGGGGCAAUUCCUUUUUCACGCAGGGCCAUGUAGGUUUGGAUUUUUUUUUCUCCCCAUAAUAACUUUCAUUUAAAAACUGCAUUUUGUGUUAUCUUUGUCUAAUAUGUAAAUGUGUUUAAUCUGAAACAUUAAAGUGUGACAAACAUGCAAAAAAAUAAGGGGGCCAACUAUUUUUCACACUAACGUCAGCUGCUGGUGAAGACGAAGGAUCUCAAAAUUUGCUUCUACUCCAUCAGUUGGUGCAACGACGUAACUGCGAUCCUACAACACUGUUCUCCUGAUCCGGAAUCUUCAACUGUAAACUUUUACUCCCCCUGUAAGUUCGCUUAAUUCAUCAGCGGACACUCGCCGACCAGAUACGGCGUGUGGAGUGGACCUACCCAGACUCCUUAGUUAUUGUCCUUGGGGACUUUAACAGAGGAAAUCUCAGCCAUGUUGCCAGUUGGUUUAACCAAUAUGAAGCCUUAGGUUGAUAGGAUGGUGACCAAUUGGAUAAAUGAGUGAAUGUGGGGUGCGAUACGGAGCGGUAGUAAUAAACAUGUCUACCUUGGUACACAGCCUGUCUCACGCACAUUAUUAAGCAAACAUUGUGGAUCAACACACCUUUACAUGAGAAUGACGCGUGUUUGCAGUGGACG
Gasterosteus aculeatus aculeatus (three-spined stickleback) is the source of this 4188-nucleotide long non-coding RNA. The record is from Ensembl. Lineage: Eukaryota; Metazoa; Chordata; Actinopteri; Perciformes; Gasterosteidae.